CAACCUGCCCACCACUUGGGGAUAACCUUGCGAAAGUAAGACUAAUACCCAAUGAUAUCUCUAGAAGACAUCUGAAAGAGAUUAAAGAUUUAUCGGUGAUGGAUGGGGAUGCGUCUGAUUAGCUUGUUGGCGGGGUAACGGCCCACCAAGGCGACGAUCAGUAGGGGUUCUGAGAGGAAGGUCCCCCACAUUGGAACUGAGACACGGUCCAAACUCCUACGGGAGGCAGCAGUGAGGAAUAUUGGUCAAUGGACGAGAGUCUGAACCAGCCAAGUAGCGUGCAGGAUGACGGCCCUAUGGGUUGUAAACUGCUUUUAUAAGGGAAUAAAGUGAGUCUCGUGAGACUUUUUGCAUGUACCUUAUGAAUAAGGACCGGCUAAUUCCGUGCCAGCAGCCGCGGUAAUACGGAAGGUCCGGGCGUUAUCCGGAUUUAUUGGGUUUAAGGGGAGCGUAGGCCGGAGAUUAAGCGUGUUGUGAAAUGUAGAUGCUCAACAUCUGCACUGCAGCGCGAACUGGUUUCCUUGAGUACGCACAAAGUGGGCGGAAUUCGUGGUGUAGCGGUGAAAUGCUUAGAUAUCACGAAGAACUCCGAUUG
Molecule: ribosomal RNA, 595 nt
Filed under: uncultured Bacteroidota bacterium
Lineage: Bacteria; Pseudomonadati; Bacteroidota
Description: bacterial SSU rRNA
Rfam family: Bacterial small subunit ribosomal RNA
Source: RNAcentral